RNAcentral lists this ribosomal RNA (411 nucleotides) under uncultured Clostridium sp. RNAcentral describes it as "bacterial SSU rRNA". It matches the Rfam family "Bacterial small subunit ribosomal RNA", at positions 992 to 1403 of the family's 1533-position model. Lineage: Bacteria; Bacillati; Bacillota; Clostridia; Eubacteriales; Clostridiaceae. The record is from RNAcentral.
AGGAGCAGAUUCUCGUAACGGAGGAAGCUCUUCGGGGCAGGAAGACAGGUGGUGCAUGGUUGUCGUCAGCUCGUGUCGUGAGAUGUUGGGUUAAGUCCCGCAACGAGCGCAACCCUUAUCGUUAGUUGCUACCAUUAAGUUGAGCACUCUAACGAGACUGCCGCGGUUAACGUGGAGGAAGGUGGGGAUGACGUCAAAUCAUCAUGCCCCUUAUGUCUAGGGCUACACACGUGCUACAAUGGCCGGUACAACGAGAUGCAAACCCGUGAGGGGGAGCCAAACUUCAAAGCCGGUCCCAGUUCGGAUUGUAGGCUGAAACUCGCCUACAUGAAGUCGGAGUUGCUAGUAAUCGCGAAUCAGCAUGUCGCGGUGAAUACGUUCCCGGGUCUUGUACACACCGCCCGUAACGUA